GGGAGUAGUAAAGGCGAAGCACCCCGGCCGUGCGGGGAGCGGUGGGACCCCUUAGGGGUGACGGGCCGUCAGCGACGGGCAAGGAGCGGGAAAGGAGAGAGGAGCAGCUGAGAGGGGUAUUCUCACACGGCAGAGUGGUGGCACCUGCCUCUCAAAAUCAAAGACCGCGACCAGCAGAACACGAUCAGGAGUUUCUUGUGAGGAAAGCUUAGGAUACCAAGAGCUCGUCCGAGCGCUCAGUCUGCUUAGGUCUGCUGUUAUUGCGCCAGCCGCCCAGCAGCUGUCGGGAAUCCCGAUUCCAGGGGCCUUUCCCUCCUGAAACAUCAGGUGCCUUCCCCCGAGAAACUGCCCGAGAAAUUGCAUACAUAGGUUUGAGGAAAUUUGAAACGCCUAAAUCUGAAAAUCUUCUCUUUUAUAAAUGACACAUGAACUACCCGUAAACAAGAAAAUACACCCAGGUGAUCCUUUAGACAUCCCCCAAGGCAAACUGAACACUAGUUGUGAUGUGAACAAGUUCACAAGUUAAUACUGUUAGAGUUGUUGGGUCGAUCUGAAACUGUAACGAGUUGAAUUAUUGAACUUGUUGUUAGAUGUUAUAUCUUUAAGUUACCCCUUUCUCCCUUACCCUGUAUUUGUAUCACAUUCCAUUGAGAACAAGUUCACAAGUCAAUACUGUUAGAGUUGUUAGUGUUAAUCCGAAACUGUAACAAAUUAUGUUAUUUAAAUUGUUGUUAAACCUUUAAGUUACCCCUUUCAGUCUUAACCUGUACUUGUAUCCUUUUCCUCUGCAUUUGUACCCCUUUCCGUCUUACCCCGGAGUUGUAUCCCUUUCCUUAGGGAACCACUUCCCCUGCUCCCAGAAGGACUUGCACCCAGGCUGAAUUUUAAUGAGUGGCUGACGGUACUAUAUGAACCCUCUCGAAAACAACAAACCAGCACAUAAACUAUGAUUUUACCCCAGCAGAGCCGGAUUCCGUCCUGCCACCAUAACUUAAACAGCACCCAGCUUGGAUGAGACCCCUCAGCUACGAGCCAGCAUUGUCAUCCUAAGGACUCUCGUGAGGGUGGAAGUCCUAGCUUUGCUGAGAGACAAAGCUUCACUCCUCCUUCUUCUCCUUAGCAUCGUCCUGUGGGAGCAGGAGUGGUGUGAGCAAACCCUUGGGUUCCCCACCCUGAGCUGUCUUUAAUAAAGGCCUUUUUAAAGGGCCUGUUCUUCAGGCCCCACUUAUCUCA
Long non-coding RNA from Serinus canaria (Common canary), 1233 nucleotides. RefSeq lists it as uncharacterized. NCBI's taxonomy places the organism in Eukaryota, Metazoa, Chordata, Aves, Passeriformes, Fringillidae. The record is from RefSeq and is a predicted model, not a curated record. The transcript is spliced from 2 exons.